RNAcentral lists this ribosomal RNA (360 nucleotides) under Cephalophorus ogilbyi (Ogilby's duiker). RNAcentral describes it as "Cephalophus ogilbyi (Ogilby's duiker) partial 12S small subunit ribosomal RNA". It matches the Rfam family "Bacterial small subunit ribosomal RNA", at positions 796 to 1354 of the family's 1533-position model. Lineage: Eukaryota; Metazoa; Chordata; Mammalia; Artiodactyla; Bovidae. The record is from RNAcentral.
UCAGCCCUAAACACAAAUAAUUAUAAAAACAAAAUUAUUCGCCAGAGUACUACCGGCAACAGCCUAAAACUCAAAGGACUUGGCGGUGCUUUACACCCUUCUAGAGGAGCCUGUUCUAUAAUCGAUAAACCCCGAUAGACCUCACCAAUUCUUGCUAAUACAGUCUAUAUACCGCCAUCUUCAGCAAACCCUAAAAAGGAACAAAAGUAAGCAUAAUCACAGCACAUAAAAACGUUAGGUCAAGGUGUAACCUAUGAAAUGGGAAGAAAUGGGCUACAUUUUCUACCACAAGAAAAUCACACGAAAGUUAUUAUGAAACUAAUAACCAAAGGAGGAUUUAGUAGUAAACUAAGAAUAGAG